Molecule: long non-coding RNA, 128 nt
Organism: Sinocyclocheilus rhinocerous
Lineage: Eukaryota; Metazoa; Chordata; Actinopteri; Cypriniformes; Cyprinidae
Exons: 3
Source: RefSeq, a predicted model, not a curated record
GAGAGAGCUUUGAGAGGAGAGGCUGGUUCAGACCCAGAAAUGAUUGAUCAGUGGAUUGAUCUGGUCCAGGAGAAGAACAGUCUGCUCUCAGAGGAGUCCGAUCUCAUGGUGGCGUCUCGACAGCUGGA